GGGUAUGUAGCUCAGUUUGGUAGAGCAUUGGACUUUUAAUCCACCGGUCCUGGGUUCGAGUCCCAGUAUACCUA
Molecule: transfer RNA, 74 nt
Filed under: Fistulifera solaris
Lineage: Eukaryota; Bacillariophyta; Bacillariophyceae; Naviculales; Stauroneidaceae
Description: tRNA-Lys
Rfam family: tRNA
About the family: Transfer RNA (tRNA) molecules are approximately 80 nucleotides in length.
Source: RNAcentral